AACGAACGCUGGCGGCAUGCCUAACACAUGCAAGUCGAACGAGACCUUCGGGUCUAGUGGCGCACGGGUGCGUAACGCGUGGGAACCUGCCCUUAGGUUCGGGAUAACUCCCCGAAAGGGGUGCUAAUACCGGAUAAUGUCUUCGGACCAAAGAUUUAUCGCCUUUGGAUGGGCCCGCGUUGGAUUAGCUAGUUGGUAGGGUAAUAGCCUACCAAGGCGACGAUCCAUAGCUGGUCUGAGAGGAUGAUCAGCCACACUGGGACUGAGACACGGCCCAGACUCCUACGGGAGGCAGCAGUGGGGAAUAUUGGACAAUGGGCGAAAGCCUGAUCCAGCAAUGCCGCGUGAGUGAUGAAGGCCUUAGGGUUGUAAAGCUCUUUUACCCGGGAUGAUAAUGACAGUACCGGGAGAAUAAGCUCCGGCUAACUCCGUG
RNAcentral lists this ribosomal RNA (433 nucleotides) under uncultured bacterium. Its description in RNAcentral is "partial 16S ribosomal RNA". It matches the Rfam family "Bacterial small subunit ribosomal RNA", at positions 29 to 507 of the family's 1533-position model. The record is from RNAcentral.